AAACAUGUCCUCAUGGGUGAUAUUUGAGGUCUGGCCUGCCCACUGAAUAGUUUUAAAGGGCCGCGGUAUACUAACCGUGCGAAGGUAGCAUAGUCAAUAGUCUUUUAAUUGAAGGCUUGAAUGAACGGUCGGACAUAGAGAAGUCUGUCUUCGGUUGAUUAGGGUGAAUUUAACUUUUGUGUGAAAAGGCAUUAAUAUUUUAAGGGGACGAUAAGACCCUAUAAAACUUGAUGAUUAGGUCGAUCUUUGUGAUUUAAGUAUAAUAUGAGGUUUAACUGGGUUCAUUGUGCUGGGGCGGUAGGAAUAUAAUCGGUAACUGUUCUUAGGUAUAAAAUAGUUUUAAUUAGAAAAUGACCCUGAGAUUUUGGGUUAUAAGAUUAAGUUACUUUAGGGAUAACAGCGUUAUUUCUCUUGAGAGUUCAUAUCGACAGGGACAUUUGCGACCUCGAUGUUGAAUUAAAGUUUUCUCCGGGAGUAGAAGUUCGGAUGAGUAGGUCUGUUCGACCUUUAAAACUUUACAUGAUUUGAGUUCAAACCGGUGUGAGCCA
This 548-nucleotide ribosomal RNA is filed under the name Alpheus sp. 1 SB-2020. RNAcentral describes it as "partial large subunit ribosomal RNA". It matches the Rfam family "Bacterial large subunit ribosomal RNA", at positions 1811 to 2628 of the family's 2925-position model. The record is from RNAcentral. Lineage: Eukaryota; Metazoa; Arthropoda; Malacostraca; Decapoda; Alpheidae.